GAAGACAGUAUCUGGAAGAACUCUUUUUCGAGCCUGGACAUACCGAUCUGCAUCAGUUUCUGUGCAAGAACAAGCUUGGAAGAUUGAGAGUGUUGAGAGACAAGAAAGUGCAUGGCUCUGCGUAAGUCACGGACGCAUCUGAUGAAUUCUUUGGCUUCUUUUCUGCUGUGACUAAACAGAGAGAUGAUCUUUGUGUAGGAGGGUGAAUUGGGAUCCCAUUUCUUGAUGAUUGAUUCCGCGGCUUCCACGGUUUCCUCCAUCAUCGACUGAGAAGAAGUCUGAUUGAGAGGAGAAGCAGGGAGAGAAGUGAAUGUAGAAAGAGAAGAAAGGAGUGAUUUAGG
Molecule: long non-coding RNA, 341 nt
Filed under: Eutrema salsugineum
Lineage: Eukaryota; Viridiplantae; Streptophyta; Magnoliopsida; Brassicales; Brassicaceae
Description: long non-coding RNA (ESAL_LNC001980)
Source: RNAcentral